CCUACGGGUGGCUGCAGUAGGGAAUCUUUCACAAUGGGCGGGAGCCUGAACCAGCCAAGUCGCGUGAGGGAAGACGGUCCUAUGGAUUGUAAACCUCUUUAGGCGGGGAGCAAUGCCGGGCACGCGUGCCCGGAGGGAGAGUACCCGCAGAAUAAGCAUCGGCUAACUCCGUGCCAGCAGCCGCGGUAAUACGGAGGAUGCGAGCGUUAUCCGGAUUUAUUGGGUUUAAAGGGUGCGUAGGCGGUAUUUUAAGUUAGUGGUAAAACGUCGGGGCUUCACCUUGAUUGGCCAUUAAAACUGGAGUACUAGAGUACAGACGAGGUAGGCGGAAUAAGUUAAGUAGCGGUGAAAUGCUUAGAUAUAACUUAGAACCCCGAUAGCGAAGGCAGCUUACCAGACUGUUACUGACGCUGAAGCACGAGAGCGUGGGUAGCGAACAGGAUUAGAUACCCCGGUAGUC
This 460-nucleotide ribosomal RNA is filed under the name uncultured bacterium. RNAcentral's name for it is "partial 16S ribosomal RNA". It matches the Rfam family "Bacterial small subunit ribosomal RNA", at positions 338 to 795 of the family's 1533-position model. The record is from RNAcentral.